GACGAACGCUGGCGGCGUGCUUAACACAUGCAAGUCGAACGGAAAGGCCCUGCUUUUGUGGUGUUCUCGAGUGGCGAACGGGUGAGUAACACGUGAGUAACCUGCCCUUGACUUUGGUAUAACUUCAGGAAACUGGGGCUAAUACCGGAUAGGAGCUCCUGCUGCAUGGUGGGGGUUGGAAAGUUUCGGCGGUUGGGGAUGGACUCGCGGCUUAUCAGCUUGUUGGUGGGGUAGUGGCUUACCAAGGCUUUGACGGGUAGCCGGCCUGAGAGGGUGACCGGCCACAUUGGGACUGAGAUACGGCCCAGACUCCUACGGGAGGCAGCAGUGGGGAAUAUUGCACAAUGGGAGGAAGCCUGAUGCAGCAACGCCGCGUGCGGGAUGACGGCCUUCGGGUUGUAAACCGCUUUCGCCUGUGACGAAGCGUGAGUGACGGUAAUGGGUAAAGAAGCACCGGCUAACUACGUG
This 468-nucleotide ribosomal RNA is filed under the name uncultured bacterium. RNAcentral's name for it is "partial 16S ribosomal RNA". It matches the Rfam family "Bacterial small subunit ribosomal RNA", at positions 28 to 507 of the family's 1533-position model. The record is from RNAcentral.